GUUGAACGCUGGCGGCAGGCCUAACACAUGCAAGUCGAGCGGAUGAAGGGAGCUUGCUCCUGGAUUCAGCGGCGGACGGGUGAGUAAUGCCUAGGAAUCUGCCUGGUAGUGGGGAUAACGUCCGGAAACGGGCGCUAAUACCGCAUACGUCCUGAGGGAGAAAGUGGGGGAUCUUCGGACCUCACGCUAUCAGAUGAGCCUAGGUCGGAUUAGCUAGUUGGUGGGGUAAAGGCCUACCAAGGCGACGAUCCGUAACUGGUCUGAGAGGAUGAUCAGUCACACUGGAACUGAGACACGAUCCAGACUCCUACGGGAGGCAGCAGUGGGGAAUAUUGGACAAUGGGCGAAAGCCUGAUCCAGCCAUGCCGCGUGUGUGAAGAAGGUCUUCGGAUUGUAAAGCACUUUAAGUUGGGAGGAAGGGCAGUAAGUUAAUACCUUGCUGUUUUGACGUUACCAACAGAAUAAGCACCGGCUAACUUCGUG
RNAcentral lists this ribosomal RNA (483 nucleotides) under uncultured bacterium. RNAcentral's name for it is "partial 16S ribosomal RNA". It matches the Rfam family "Bacterial small subunit ribosomal RNA", at positions 28 to 507 of the family's 1533-position model. The record is from RNAcentral.